GUGUAUAUAUAUAUAUAUCUGCAUUAUCAUGCAAAGGUAGAACAAUAAAUGGCUGUUGGUACAAAUAUGUAUUCUAUUCCUCAUACAAUAUAUAAAGUUCCGCAGUGAUGUUUUGGAGUACUGAGUCAUUGAUAUAGAGAGAGAGGUCAUAUACAGAUAUAAGCUUCUCUAUUUUGAAAUUUUAGCGGUCAUAUAUAACGACUUGAGGUACUAAAACUCAAGCCCCAAAAUAUAAUUUUUCGAUUAAAAUGUUUCAACCAUACCAAAACAUAUUAAACACCAACUGGAUUUGACAAUCCAAAACACAUUCAAUUUAUACUAGAAGGACAAGUUACAACAGCUAGAUGAAAAUUUAGUGUUGCUAGUAAAUUAAAAGUUGUAACAUGGCAUAAAAAUCUAUUUUUAAUAGCAAUUAAACUACCCAAUUUUACCAAAAUAGUCAUGACACCAUAGCAAUUCAUUUAAAAAUCGAAGCUUAAAUUACUUAUAUCUAACCUUUUAAAUGAUAAGUUUUUACGAAAGUUUAAAUUGUGUAGACUCUUGAAAUAAUGUUUGUCCAUGAAUUUUCACUCCUCCCUACUUAUAAUCAACGCAUGAAACAAUAAAAUUAAGAGCUGAUCUCAGUAGUGUUCUACCAGAGUAGUUUAUAAUAACACUCAAUUUCAAGCGUUUAAAUUAGUUAACAUACAUAACAAAUAUAAUAUCAUCACACAAAAAUUACAAUCAUUUAAUGAAAAUUCAUAGUUAAACAACACUCAAAAUUAACUUUAACAAAAAUAAAUUAUGUUUUAUUCAGUCAUUUCCUCAUUAAUCAUUACAUGUGGAAGAUCAUGUCGGAUACAAGAGUAUCUAACCAAACCUCAUUAAAAUAUUUUUAAUCAUAUUAUAAUGCAUGCAACACGCAACUUACACAACUGACCCCCCUAAUGCAAAUCACAAUAAUAUGAUACUCCCGUACACUAUUAGCACCCCAUAAAACAAACUAUGAGAACAAUUUACACCUGAGCAAUUUCUAAAAACAUUUACAAGGGUCAAUAUGUGAUAACUCUUAACCAUUAUCAAUUUAUACAAUUAAUGUAAACCUCAUAUCCGAUCCAAAGUUUAAUUUGGACAUGAAAUUACUUCGGCUCCUAAGAUAACCCAAUCAUUCAAUCAUACAAUUAAUUACGUGCUCAAAUCAUCCUAACUUGCAAUUAAGCCAUUUCCAACAUAAUUGUAUCAUAUGAGCCAUCCUAUAAGUGUUUUACAAAUUCUUAACAUUUAUUUAGUAAGAAAAAUUGCUCAUAUAAGUAAAAUUUUUCAAACAAAGCCUAAAAUAAACAUAAAAGAUUCAACAAUUCAUCCAAAAAAAAAAUAGUUUUAAAAGAUAUCAACAAUUACUCAUAAAAGCACGUUUGGUUAGCAUGGAUAAUUAUUCCAUUUAUACCUUAUUCACUGUAAUAAUUUUAUUUCAUUGUUUAGUUUAAUUGAAUGAGUGAAACGGCCAGGCAAUAUUCCAAUCUCAUUUCAGCCUCUCACGGAAUACUCAUUACGUGCUAUAACUAAAGAAUAGCCACCAAAUUUUUUUUUAUUCAAAAAUACCCCAAACCAAAAAAAUCAUAUUAGCCAUAAUUUCAGUUUAUGAAUUAUAGCUAGCUAAGGAAGAAAAAUCAAGAAGAAACAAAAAUUGAAACCCAAUCAUUACAAUUAAAUGCUUUCGCAACUUAGAAUUCAUCCAACAAUGCUAUUUUCACAGAAUUAAUAUAAGGUCUCCUUCACUCUGACAUGUUUUAAACCCAGUAAUGAAAUUUUAAAAAAUAAAACAAAACAAAACAACCCAAAUCAGAAAGAAAAAAAAAUUGUGACAGACAAUGGGAGAAUAAAAGGGGGAGAUUUGCAUGUAUGGAUCUAUAGAUUUUGUUGAGCUUUUAAGACAAACUAAACAAAAAAAUUGAAAGAGGAGACGGAGAUAAAGCUUUGGAGAGAAAGAUACAUGAGAAAAAAAAAGCGGACUAGAGGGAAAAAAGAUAAAGAAAAAGAGAGAACUAGAUAAAGCUCUAGAGAAAAGAAAGAGAUAAAAUCUCCAGAAGGCUCUAAUGGUUUUAACAUCAAU
Molecule: long non-coding RNA, 2092 nt
Filed under: Gossypium barbadense (sea-island cotton)
Lineage: Eukaryota; Viridiplantae; Streptophyta; Magnoliopsida; Malvales; Malvaceae
Description: long non-coding RNA (GBAR_LNC006198)
Source: RNAcentral